Long non-coding RNA from Esox lucius (northern pike), 455 nucleotides. NCBI's taxonomy places the organism in Eukaryota, Metazoa, Chordata, Actinopteri, Esociformes, Esocidae. The record is from Ensembl.
AGGUUCAGCCAGGACCACUUGGAGCUUCUCUUCAACUCCAUCAGAGUAUCUGGAUUUGUUGUGCGACGGUCUCUGAAGAAGCUUUCGUGUGAUGUCAGCCGUGCCAGCCUGGUGACAUGCUGCAUCUGCCAUCAAGGACCAGAGCUACCACCUGCUGAAUUUAAAAAACAAUGGAGGUCUGGUGAUUCCAUCAGAGGGAACCGUGAGUGUCGUCAGGGCAGCAGAGUGGGUCAUUCGGCAGUCAUCAGGCAGUACCAGACGAUCACAGCCCAUUAAACUGCUUGAGGUUGUUUACAUUGUCUGAAAAAGGAUCGGUUCAGAGGAUGUUUGUGUUGGGAUAGACAUCCACCACCAUAGGCUGUUAAAAAUAAUUCUGUCCCUGUUUUUUAAGUUAAGGCUGCACCACAUCGCCAGAAUUACAAUCCUCAGCUUACAGAGCAACAACAUGCAACAAA